Molecule: long non-coding RNA, 5133 nt
Organism: Dinoponera quadriceps
Lineage: Eukaryota; Metazoa; Arthropoda; Insecta; Hymenoptera; Formicidae
Exons: 3
Source: RefSeq, a predicted model, not a curated record
CAAUAUUCUCUGUAAUAUCGUUACUUUUUUAUUUUUUUCACGUUUAUUUAUUGAAUGAUUAAUGAUUAAGUCAGUUAUGAUCGUAUCUUCGGGUAUUUUGAAAGUACUUAGCUGUAUCUCAUCGAUAAUCGGAUGUAUCAAUAAAGCACUUUAAACACGAUAGGCUAUCUCCGUGUGUACGCGGAUCGCAAAUGCAUUAUCUGGAAACGCUCGUGACUUAUUAUUUCAUAAAUCGACACACGCGAAAGGUCUUGACCAAGACGGAAAUCGCGACGGUGGAAAAAAGCGCGAGAACGGCGCAAAAUUCACGGUUGAUUUAUAUAAAACGCGAGCGGGCCGCAUUUUAAUUGAGAUAUAAAUUUCUGGCCGUGAGUAUCGAAGUCACGGUCCAAUUUCAUUACGGAAUUUAAUGCCCGCGGUGUCAAUAAAAUGUCGACGGAUAUCUACCCGACAAUAUCCGCCGCUUUUGCGCUGAAUUUUACGCUUAUUUUUAGUCAGUUAUUUGCGAAUAAAAUUGCAAAAUGAGUUUCGCGGGACACGGAAAAUUGCUGCGAUUGAGAUAAUAUAUAUGUGAUAUAACGAGUAUCUUAAUAUCACACGAUAAACACUCCUAUUUGCAAAAAUGUUUUUAUUUGUCUAAACAAUUGUUAUACUUAAGCACUUAUUGUUGCAACAAUCGAAUUUUCCGACAAGUUUUUCGGUUAUUUCUUUCAAUUUCUUUCAACGUGAUAUUUUUCCAAUCACGACCUUUCCUAAAAUUCGUUAACGAAUAUCUUGCCAACGAAUUUGUAUCUAAGAAUUCACCAAGUUAAACACGGAAAAACACGUUAAUGGUGCUUACUGCACAAUUGGCAUCCCUACCGACUGGCUCGCCACUUGACGUUGACGCUUGUCUGGUCGCCUUUACUAAGGCGUAAUUACUCGACGCAGUACUCUUCAAUCAAAUGCAAGUGUAGACAGUUACGGCAGGCGAGCAUGAUAAUUAAACUAAGGAGAAACGUAAACGAGAUUCGCUCUGUGUACCUUCUGUAACAAUUCGCACUCGCCAGAGGCGUAAAGUCCAUCUCUUCAGCUUUAUACACACACAUACAUGCAUAUAUUUUCACACAAAGCCUUUGCUUAUUUCAGGAAUCAACAAAAACUCAAAGUAUCUUUACAAUUAUUAAUUAUUGAAUAUCGACAUGAAAAUAUCCAUGUUUCAUGGCGUUUAAUUACGGAAUACAAAUGCAAGAUGAAACUUACACGAUUUUAUUUUUCCAGUUCUGUAACAGUAACAAUACUUCUUUCUUGCGCCAAUUGGAUGCCGUUAAUAUUUUUUAGAAAUUUCCUAUGUGUUUCAGUAGUAACUAAAAUCAAUGACCUAAUCGAACAAGUUAUCAUUCAUUAUCUCGUUGUUAAUUUCUCGCAGAUAAUUACAAUUUAUUGUAACAUAAGUAAUGUAGAUUCGAUAUUUUUCAUCCAUUUGAUCAGAUAUCUCGUUCCUAAGCUGAUAUCUUGUCUUCCUAACUUACUAUAAUAAAUACAGAUUAUACUUAUUUGAUUGGAAAAUUUGGAAAAUCCUCAAGUUUAAUCUAAACAUAUCACACGAUCCAAUCACGGGAAUUUUCGGACUCCAUUAUGAAACUUUUCAAUUUGCGUAAAUUUUAAUCCACGGUAGAUUUCAUAUUGGGUUGCAAUGUAGGUUCGCGUAGUAGAUUAAAUCUUCAUGGAGAAAUGGGGCCGAUUGAGCGCGGUAAAUCAAGACCCCUUGGCUUUUCAUCUAAGGAGAGACGCGUUUCUUUAAAUCAUUCUCUCUCGCGCUGCACGUCAGCGAAAAGAGAUGAACAUUUAAAUUUGUAUUUUCAUCUCUGCCUACGCGGAAUUUUUUUCUUAUACUUCAUCAUGAAGAGACAAUAUGAGAAAUAAAUGAAUUAACUUUCGAUAUAUCAUCAAGGCCGAUUGGAUUAAAUUUGAAUUUUUGUGUUUUUUUUUUAAUGAUCAGUUGCAACUAUUCGUAUGAAUUUGUGACUUUCAAAUUUACGGCUUUUAUUCUUUCCUAAAGUUCUUCCAGAAACACAAGGAGAAAAUUCACUUAUUUCUUUUUUGAACAGAACAAAGUAAUUCAUUGAUUUAAUUAAACCUCGAUGGUACGAUGUCGCGGAUUAACACAUCUGGCAUUAUUUCCAAUAUUUUGAAAAUAUACUUCGCAAGCUGCUAAAGUGCAAAGUUUUGUUUCUAACGCUUUCUUUCUAUUAAUAGAAGUACCGAUUAGAUAUCGCGACCAUUGCUGCAAUUUUUUUUAUGCAUUAUGCAAAUAAUGUGUGAUGCACGCAUUCGCAUUCGCUCCUUUUACGGAAUGGUCACGGUCGGUGGGAAUAAUAACUUCAGUAGUGCGAUUUACAUGCGCGGACGAUUCGGAAAUUAUCUUCCUUCUGCAGGAACAUCCUCCAUUGAAACCUCGUUUGCGCCUAUGGCGGUAUGACGCGCGUCGACAACGGGCUAGAAACGAUUUCCCUUCGCCAUACGCUUCGAAUGCCGUAUUGUCUCUGCCCGGUCGACAUUCUGCUUUAUCGGUCAUAUUGAAGCAGCCGACCGGAAACGCGGCAGCCGAAUAUGCUUCGAAUUUCCUUUUCUCCCUCGUCCCUGCCGAUCGUUCUCUCCGCUGUCCUCUAAAACUGACGAUUCAGAUCUCUCGGAGGGUUCUCGAGUAUGGGUUCGAGACGUUGCUGAUAGGAGCGGCCGCGGCGUGUCAUCCAUGGUAUUUGCCAAACGUCAAAUAUCAGCUCCGAAAGAGCGAAUGGGUAUCGCGCCAUUGUUCGACGUGGAAUAUUUGUUCCGUGUGAAAUUGCACGAAAUUUAUGUCUCAUAAAACAUAAUUGACACAUGACAUAUAUAUAUAUAUUUUUUUCUCUUCUUAAAAAUUGUAUAGUGAUGUUAUAUAUAAUAACGUUAUCGAAAUUUUGUUAAUAUCUUAGCGAGGUGCUAGUCGACGCUAAUUAGAAAUUUCGAGCGGAUGCAUCAAGAAAUCGUUUUUCAUUCGCACCGUUAUAUUCUUACGUCUUUGUGAUAACGUACUGCUUCUAAAACUGAGCUCGACGUUUAACAUCGGAGAUUAACCCGUAGACUGGAUUAUUUAUUAACGCACUAACGGAAAUAGUAACGUAGCUUGCAAGAGUUCCCCGCUCGUCUGCAAAUCGUGUAAUAACGUGCCGCUUAAUUGUAUUAAUGACAAACUGCUUUAUGAUGAGGUUCAGUUUUCUGAGCUGUCGGCCGGGAUGUGGAAGAAGGAUGUGACGAGGGUGCACAAGGCGCCUAAGAUAUUAACCACGUCCUUAAUUAAUAAAGAUAUUCAGUCAUGUGACUAAUCCGAUUUCAGGGAUGAGGCUUAUAUUGAAUUAAGAUGUUCGAAGAUAGCGUUACCUUUACCACCGUGCUUUUUUUUUUCAUUUAACCAUCAGCUAAAUAUUUCGAGUUUGUGUUUUGCAAGCUGUCUUUUUGAAAAACGUUAUUCAAUGUAAAAAAUUGGGGAAAAUUAAGGGGACGCACGUAUAGAUUAUUUUAAUAUUUUGGGAAAUAUUUUUCGUGGAAACAGUCUUCUUUUAUCGUAUCUAGUUUUUCAAUUACGAUACUAAGGACGCUUUAAAUUGUCCCUCUCACUGUUACUUUAUCUUGCGUGUAACAGCUUUGGUCUUCUUUAAACUGGAUUGAGAACGACCUGAAAAAUUAUCUGCAACGACAGGGCCGUCAUCUCAUGACUCACGGAGUAUACAUAUGCAAAUUGACGUGUAAUUACCGAUGAAAAGAAAUCGUGUCGACAAUUUCAUUAGCUGCGUUUGACUGUGAAAAAUAAAGUUCAAGGUCAAGGCAAUAGCAUUGCGAAAAUAAUGAUAACCGAAACUUAAUUUAACGAAAGCUGAUAACAUUUGAAAGCAUUUUAUUAUAUUACUUAAUUCGGAUUACCCACUAUAAAAAUAAUGACAUCGAGAAGCGCCAAAUCGUAUGUAACAAAUUAAUAAGAGCUGAUUCACUUAAUCAUGUUUCCUCAAUAUGAAAUAUCUUUCCUAUAUCUAUACUUUUUUUACAAUAUAUAGCUAUAUAUUUCCGAAAGAAUUGAGAGUGAAUUGGCUUUUACAUUAGAUCCGCUCGAGUCAAAAAGAAACAUAGCAACACUACCGUGUCUCUUAAUUUUCACGUAAUUUAAAAAUAUUUUAAAAUAAAAUUAACAUCGUAAGGUAACUGUCUUCUAAUCUCAUUUAUCGCUCCCAGGAUUUCUGCUGACCUCGACGAUGCAAUAAUGCAUCAAGAUGCAAGAUUAUGGCCUUCUAUUUACCCGCGAGCGCUAUGUGUCAUAUGUUAUCUUUAUCAUCUUUAUUUUACAUCGGUGUUAUCGUCGGUACUGUUGUAGUAUAAAACACACGAUAAAAAGUAUACGGUUGCAAGAUAUAAUACGCAUUGCACACUGCAAUCUCAGAGUAUAAUAUGCAUAUCGCGUUUAUUUUUUGCGACGUAUUAAAUAAAUUUGGUAAUGUCGUUAAAAAGUCAAGUGUUGAUAACCUACGCCCUCCAGAAUGUUAAACAUCUUGUAAAUCUUUCUGUUUAAUCAUGCACUUAUACGUGAAAGUCAUAAGUCGAAAACAUAUAAAAGAUCGCGUUGAAACAUGUGGUUAUCAGUUGCGAUUUCUGCAGUGUAGCACGCAUAACGCAAGCAAAUACAUAAAAUGGCUCGUCUAAUUGCUUUGCUCGUCCUCGUCAUUGCGGUCUGCACCGUUUCCGCUUAUUCACCGGAACCUCAGUGCGGUACUCAUGAGGAAUGGACCACUUGUGGGCGACCGGAAGCUUGUGAAGCUAAAUGCAAUCAAUCCCCGCCUCUAAUCUGCCCUGCGGUUUGCGUCUCGCGUUGCCAGUGCCAAAAAGGAUAUUUAAGAAACCAAGCGAACUUUUGCGUUCUCGCGACACUUUGUUAACGGAUUUCGAUACAUCUUUCUUGAUAGCGACGGCGAUACCGGCGAACCGAGUCUCUUGAAGAAUCAGCUAUGACAAUCGGUGUGCUUAAAUUGUUAAAAAGUUUCUGAUCUUCGUUGUAAUUUUAUUCAUAUAUCGAUGCUUUAUAUUUAUAAAAAUAUUAAUUUUUAUAAAUAUCAGAUAUCGCUAUUG